This 28-nucleotide non-coding RNA is filed under the name Homo sapiens (human). The record is from RNAcentral. Lineage: Eukaryota; Metazoa; Chordata; Mammalia; Primates; Hominidae.
UGCCUUUGCUGGUGAGUGGCGAUUAGGC